GCCAGGGUGGCGUAGUGCUUAGCGUACCUGCCUAGUGAGCAGGAGACUCGGGUUUGAAUCCCGGUCCUGGUA
This is a non-coding RNA of Schistocerca piceifrons (Central American locust), 72 nucleotides long. The record is from the annotation of a RefSeq genome assembly. NCBI's taxonomy places the organism in Eukaryota, Metazoa, Arthropoda, Insecta, Orthoptera, Acrididae.